This 492-nucleotide ribosomal RNA is filed under the name uncultured bacterium. RNAcentral's name for it is "partial 16S ribosomal RNA". It matches the Rfam family "Bacterial small subunit ribosomal RNA", at positions 29 to 507 of the family's 1533-position model. The record is from RNAcentral.
AGUGAACGCUGGCGGUAGGCCUAACACAUGCAAGUCGAACGGCAGCACAGUAAGAGCUUGCUCUUACGGGUGGCGAGUGGCGGACGGGUGAGGAAUACAUCGGAAUCUACUUUUUCGUGGGGGAUAACGUAGGGAAACUUACGCUAAUACCGCAUACGACCUACGGGUGAAAGCAGGGGAUCUUCGGACCUUGCGCGAUUGAAUGAGCCGAUGUCGGAUUAGCUAGUUGGCGGGGUAAAGGCCCACCAAGGCGACGAUCCGUAGCUGGUCUGAGAGGAUGAUCAGCCACACUGGAACUGAGAAACGGUCCAGACUCCUAAGGGAGGCAGCAGUGGGGAAUAUUGGACAAUGGGCGGAAGCCUGAUCCAGCCAUACCGCGUGGGUGAAGAAGGCCUUCGGGUUGUAAAGCCCUUUUGUUGGGAAAGAAAAGCAGCAGGUUAAUACCCCGCUGUUCUGACGGUACCCAAAGAAUAAGCACCGGCUAACUUCGUG